GAUAUCUCUUAAGUUUUCGGUGAAUUUUAUGUUUUCUGCAUAAAAUGAGAGGGAAUCCGGUGCAAUUCCGGAACAGUGCCCGCUACUGUGAGGUUCGUAUAAGGUGAAAAGUUUUCUUACAACCACGGUCGACGCGACUGGAAGGUUACUUUUCCGGACUGAGUCAGGAAACCUGCCGAAAAUAAUAAUAAUGC
Molecule: non-coding RNA, 194 nt
Filed under: Odoribacter splanchnicus
Lineage: Bacteria; Pseudomonadati; Bacteroidota; Bacteroidia; Bacteroidales; Odoribacteraceae
Also listed under: 1 other name
Source: RNAcentral